GUGGCGGCUGGUGGUAACCCUAGGAUUGGAGGGCGUAAGGAUCAUGGACGGCUGAGAUUGGAAGAAUGGGAGUGAGGGCGCAUUGAGUUUGAUGAAUGAUUCGUUUCUGUUAUUCUUCUUCUGUUUGGUUGUGUUUCGUUUCUAUUUAUUGCCUACUAUUGCGGAUGGCUGUGUCUUUGUGUAUUCUGAAUUGUGUGUUGUGGGACUGUGGGAGUGGCUCUACACUCUGCGCUUCUCUUCCCUACUUCAUUUUCUU
RNAcentral lists this long non-coding RNA (256 nucleotides) under Arachis ipaensis. RNAcentral describes it as "long non-coding RNA (AIPA_LNC000236)". The record is from RNAcentral. Lineage: Eukaryota; Viridiplantae; Streptophyta; Magnoliopsida; Fabales; Fabaceae.